Bolinopsis microptera is the source of this 2182-nucleotide long non-coding RNA. RefSeq lists it as uncharacterized. The transcript has 5 exons. Lineage: Eukaryota; Metazoa; Ctenophora; Tentaculata; Lobata; Bolinopsidae. The record is from RefSeq and is a predicted model, not a curated record.
CAUUUUAGGUAUGUGUGUGUGAAACAUCAGAACUGAAUAAUGGACCAGAGAAUUCAGAGAUCUUUGGUUACCUGUUUCCGGUUUCGUCGGUUCACACUUCACAUUGCUGCGUUCCUGACCUAGCUUCGCCUGCAUCAGUAGAUCAUAUUAUAAUAUGCAUUAUAGACUAUAGUUAUACAGCUUGAAUUUGAAAGAGCUACAUGGUCGUUGUUUCGAGUGCUUUUUCAUCUGCUGUGAUGAAUUGGCAGACAGCAUCAACGGUUACCAACAUAAUAGGUGCAUUGCAAGUUGUGCAAUGCUGAAUGCAUACGUUUCGUCAGUGACUUCCUUCUGCCUCAUUGAUGCGAAACUGAUAAUAAACAUGCAAGAGAAUACAGCUAUAGUUACUCUGGACUGCCAUGAUAGAAACAUUGAAACAGAUAUUGACUGGCUUUAGGUAUGUGAGACGUUUUUAUUGGUGUUGCAAACGAUGUAACGAUCACUAAAUUCUGUGCCUAUGUGAGAUUUGUUGGUUCAUCGAAUAACAUCAAACUUACAGUUGUUACUCAACGUUUCCCUCAUUAAUUACUCUUCCACUCAAACUUCUCUGGGAUUGGUGGAAAAAGGAGAGAAAACUUCGACUGAAAUACGAUAAGGAAGGUAAACGGUCAAGCAAAGUGUGCAAGGUCGUUGAUGGAGUAUUCCAUGUGAAAUCCUCUCACCGGUCUGAGCCCCACCAACUGAACAUCAGAGGACCAACUUGCACCUGCAGACAUAUUUUUCAAGCUAUUGAUGAUGGUUUAAUGAAAUGCAAUGGGAGGACCUACCUGAAUAUUACAGAAACAUACUGUUCUUCGUAAAAGAUAAAGGAAGUGAUAUUGGGAUAUGGCCAGCUGAUGCAGAUGUAAACAAAUGCUGCGAUUAUCCAGCAUCAGAAGACGAGGAUGAAGAAGUAGAAGAUGAUGAGGUUGGAGGAAAUGGGGAUAAAAGAAAGAAGAAACGGGACAUAGACUAUAAAGGAGAUUGGCGGGAGCUUUCAAACAGAAUAACUUCCUUCGUUAAUGAUCCUGAGUUUGACGUGAUGGACGAUGAUGUCUGUGCAUUAUUACAGGGUGGCCCAUAAGUGACUACCCACACGCAACCUCUUAAUAACUCACGUAAUUCGUCUCCAAAUUGCACCAAAAUUUCAGAGAUUAUAGAUAUGGGUCAAACUUAGAUUUCCUGAAAGUUUCGUAAGCCACGCCCAAUUAUAGUGGGCGUGGCGUGACACUCCCUCUUUUUCACUAUUGUCUUCAUAAAAUAUAUAUAUAAGAAACUGUCAGAUACCGUCAAUGAUGUGGCAUCCUAUAUUUACAAAAGAAACUAAAUUAGAUAACAUAGAUAAGAUAAUGUUUGAUAAUAUAUUACUUUAAAAGCCGUGCAAUCAUUUUAGAUAUUAGAUAUUAAACUAACCAUAUUAUGAUAUUCUCCGUCUAACUAUUCGAUCUGUCUCCAUCUCACUAUUCAAUCGGUCUCAACGUUCAUUCUCUGUUUAACUAUUCAAUCUCUGUCUCAGUGUUCAUUUUCUUGUUUAACUAUUCAAUCUUUGUCUCAGCGUUCAUUCUCUGUCUCGACAUUUAUUCUCCGUCUGACUAUUUAAUCUGUCUCAAUGUUCAUUCUCUGUCUCGACGUUCAUUCUCCGUCUCACUAUUCAAUCUGUCUCAAUGUUCAUUCUCUGUCUCGACGUUCAUUCUCCGUCUCACUAUUCAAUCUGUCUCAAUGUUCAUUCUCUGUCUCGACGUUCAUUCUCCGUCUCACUAUUCAAUCUGUCUCGACGUUCAUUAUUUGUUUAACUAUUCAAUCUCUUUCUCAGUGAUCAUUCUUUGUUUAACUAUUAAAUCACUGUUCAUUCCUGUCUCGACGUUAAUUCUCCGUCUCAUUAUUCAAUCUCUGCAUCAGUGUUCAUUCUCUAUUUUAGAGUCAAUUCCCUGUCUUACCUAUCAAUCUUUCUCGGUGUUCAUUCCCUGUCUGACUGUUCAAUUUCUGUCUCACUGUCCAUUCUCUGUCUCGCUGUUCAAUCUUCGUGUUUCUUUCAAAGUGUUACAGUGACAAGGAGACCGAAUGAUAUUGUUGUAAAAUAAAAAGCUUGUCCGCUUUAGUUAUAGUGAUAUUAAAACAUAUACAACACCAUGUAUUAUGAAAUUUUAGAUUUUGUUACAAAAUA